UUGUAUGUGUUGAGGUCUAAGGUUU
RNAcentral lists this non-coding RNA (25 nucleotides) under Mus musculus (house mouse). Lineage: Eukaryota; Metazoa; Chordata; Mammalia; Rodentia; Muridae. The record is from RNAcentral.